This 432-nucleotide ribosomal RNA is filed under the name uncultured bacterium. RNAcentral describes it as "partial 16S ribosomal RNA". It matches the Rfam family "Bacterial small subunit ribosomal RNA", at positions 29 to 507 of the family's 1533-position model. The record is from RNAcentral.
ACGAACGCUGGCGGCAUGCCUAACACAUGCAAGUCGAACGAGACCUUCGGGUCUAGUGGCGCACGGGUGCGUAACGCGUGGGAACCUGCCCUUAGGUUCGGAAUAACUCCCCGAAAGGGGUGCUAAUACCGGAUAAUGUCUUCGGACCAAAGAUUUAUCGCCUUUGGAUGGGCCCGCGUUGGAUUAGCUAGUUGGUAGGGUAAAAGCCUACCAAGGCGACGAUCCAUAGCUGGUCUGAGAGGAUGAUCAGCCACACUGGGACUGAGACACGGCCCAGACUCCUACGGGAGGCAGCAGUGGGGAAUAGUGGACAAUGGGCGAAAGCCUGAUCCAGCAAUGCCGCGUGAGUGAUGAAGGCCUUAGGGUUGUAAAGCUCUUUUACCCGGGAUGAUAAUGACAGUACCGGGAGAAUAAGCGCCGGCUAACUCCGUG